GCUAAUCUCGCACUGUGGUGGAUUCGAGCGUUAUCCGGAUUUAUUGGGUUUAAAGGGUGCGUAGGCGGACGCUUAAGUCAGCGGUAAAAUUGCGGGGCUCAACCUCGUCGAGCCGUUGAAACUGGGUGCCUUGAGUGGGCGAGAAGUACGCGGAAUGCGUGGUGUAGCGGUGAAAUGCAUAGAUAUCACGCAGAACUCCGAUUGCGAAGGCAGCGUACCGGCGCCCAACUGACGCUGAAGCACGAAGGCGUGGGUAUCGAACAGGAUUAGAUACCCUGGUAGUCCACGCAGUAAACGAUGAAUGCUAGUUGUCCGGGGCGAUUGAGUUCUGGGUGACACAGCGAAAGCGUUAAGCAUUCCACCUGGGGAGUACGCCGGCAACGGUGAAACUCAAAGGAAUUGACGGGGGCCCGCACAAGCGGAGGAACAUGUGGUUUAAUUCGAUGAUACGCGAGGAACCUUACCCGGGCUCAAACGCAGGAGGGAUGUUUUUGAAAGGAGGCAGCCAGCAAUGGUCUCCUGCGAGGUGCUGCAUGGUUGUCGUCAGCUCGUGCCGUGAGGUGUCGGCUUAAGUGCCAUAACGAGCGCAACCCCUACCUACAGUUGCCAUCGCGUGAUGGCGGGCACUCUGUGGGGACUGCCUGCGCAAGCAGUGAGGAAGGCGGGGAUGACGUCAAAUCAGCACGGCCCUUACGUCGGGGCGACACACGUGUUACAAUGGCAGGUACAGCGGGAAGCCACCCGGCGACGGUGCGCGCACCCCGAAAACCUGUCUCAAGUUCGGAUUGGAGUCUGCAACCCGAUUCCCUGGA
This 812-nucleotide ribosomal RNA is filed under the name mouse gut metagenome. RNAcentral's name for it is "bacterial SSU rRNA". It matches the Rfam family "Bacterial small subunit ribosomal RNA", at positions 507 to 1324 of the family's 1533-position model. The record is from RNAcentral.